RNAcentral lists this ribosomal RNA (364 nucleotides) under uncultured eukaryote. RNAcentral describes it as "partial 18S ribosomal RNA". It matches the Rfam family "Eukaryotic small subunit ribosomal RNA", at positions 592 to 976 of the family's 1831-position model. The record is from RNAcentral.
CAAAAGCGUAUAUUAAAGUUGUUGCAGUUAAAAAGCUCGUAGUUGAACCUUGGGCUUGGCUGGCCGGUCCAUCUUUUUUGAUGCGUACUGGACCCAGCCGAGCCUUUCCUUCUGGCUAGCCUUUUGGCGAACCAGGACUUUUACUUUGAAAAAAUUAGAGUGUUCAAAGCAGGCCUUUGCUCGAAUAUAUUAGCAUGGAAUAAUAGAAUAGGACGUUAUGGUUCUAUUUUGUUGGUUUCUAGGACCAUCGUAAUGAUUAAUAGGGACGGUCGGGGGUAUCAGUAUUCAGUUGUCAGAGGUGAAAUUCUUGGAUUUAUGAAAGAUGAACAACUGCGAAAGCAUUUACCAAGGAUGUUUUCAUUAA